UCCAUGUCUAUGCUAUUGUGGAUAGCGCUGCAGUGGACCUACAUGUUUAUAUUCCUUUAGGUAUAUGUCCAGUUGUAGGAUUGUUGGGUCAAAUGAAACUCCUGUUUUAGGUUAUUGGAGGGAUCACCACACUGCUUUCCACAAUGGUUGAACUCAUUUAUAUUCCCGCCAGAAGUGUAUAAAUUUCCCCUUUUUUCUGUAACCUUAAAAAUCUGUUAUUUUUUUUUAAGAUUAGCCAUCCUGACUGAUGUGAGAGGGUACCUCACUGAGGUUUUGAUAUGCAUUUCUCUAAUGAUAGUGAUAUUCAGCAUUUUUUCCUAUGCUUGUUGGCCACGUGUAGGUCUUUUUUGAAGUGUCUUUUCAUGUUCUUUGGUCACUUUUUAUUUCUUGAAUGUUUGUUAAAUUUCCAUGUAUAUACUAAGUAUCGGACCUUUGUCAGAUGUAUAGGCUGCAAAUAUUUUAUUUCCCAUUCUGUAGGUUGCCUGUUUACUCUGUCGAAGCAUAAACCCUUCUGCUGCCACCAUAGCCGGCUCUUACCUGCGAGCACCACCUACUGGCCUGACGUUCAAACUGCAUGACCUAAUACAAACUCAAUACCACCAGUGUACAGCAGUUGAAAUUGAGAUUAGCUUCUCAUUACUUCUGUGAUUCCAGCCCCGC
RNAcentral lists this long non-coding RNA (660 nucleotides) under Pan troglodytes (chimpanzee). RNAcentral's name for it is "long non-coding RNA NONPTRT004984". The record is from RNAcentral. Lineage: Eukaryota; Metazoa; Chordata; Mammalia; Primates; Hominidae.